Molecule: transfer RNA, 76 nt
Filed under: Gammaproteobacteria bacterium
Lineage: Bacteria; Pseudomonadati; Pseudomonadota; Gammaproteobacteria
Also listed under: 5 other names
Description: tRNA-Lys
Rfam family: tRNA
About the family: Transfer RNA (tRNA) molecules are approximately 80 nucleotides in length. Their secondary structure includes four short double-helical elements and three loops (D, anti-codon, and T loops).
Source: RNAcentral
GGGACGGUAGCUCAGUUGGUAGAGCAAGGCCCUUUUAAGGCUUUGGUCCUGGGUUCGAGUCCCAGCCGUCCCACCA